AUGGCUUUUUUCAAGCGGCUGUGCGAGAGCAGGCGCAAUGCCGCCGCUGCCGCGGCCAGCAUCUCCUUCCUGCUGCUCUUGCUCGUCGUCGUAUGCAUUUCCAUGCGCACGCGGCACGGCGGGACCUUCUUCUUUGGCUCGGGCGCCGGAGCGCGUGAGCAGGGGAGCUGCGAGGCGGAGCUGCAGGCGCUGGAGGGCCGCGCCGCGCGGUGCCGGUACCUCCGGUCGUCGUCCCACCCGCCGUGCGCGCCAACCGGGUACGUCGACUACCUCGCGCUCUUCUACUGCGCGUGCGGGGACGAGGAGGGGCUCUGGUGGUCACCGUGGCUGGGCGGCGCCGCGAUCGCGCUCUGGCUGCUCCUGCUCUUCUACCUUCUCGGCGACACCGCGUCGGAGUACUUCUGCGCCUCGCUCGAGGGCCUCUCCGCCGCGCUCCGCCUGCCGCCCGCCGUCGCCGGGGUCACGCUGCUCUCGCUCGGCAACGGCGCGCCCGACGUGCUCUCCAGCGUCGUGGCGUUCGCGUCGGACGGCGGGGAGGCCGGGGACGUGGGGCUCAGCGGCGCGCUCGGCGGCGCCCUGUUCGUGUCCACGGUCGUCGCCGGCGUGGUCGCCAUCGUCGCUGCUCGCCGCGGUGGCGCACUCAUUGAGCGGCGCGGGUUCGUGCGCGACGUGUGCUUUCUUCUCGUCGCGCUCUGCUACCUCCUCGCCGUGCUGGUCGCCGGCACGGUCACCGUCUGGGCGGCGGCGUGCUUCCUCUCCCUCUACGCCGGCUACGUCCUCCUCGUCUCGACAUCGCACUGCUGCUCCGCCGCCGCGGACGACGGCGGUAGCACCAACACAAUGAAGCCUUCCGAUGACCUCGCCGCCCCGCUCCUCCUUCCGGUCGCCGUCUCCUCGAAGCAGCCACCAAGAACCUUCGCCAGCGGCCUCUUGGCCGCAGUCCACGCGCCGAUCUACCUCCCGCGCCGCCUCACCAUUCCGGACAUCGCCGGGCACCGCUGGUCCAGGCCCAGCGCCGUGGCCUCGGCGCUCCUCUCCCCUCUCCUCCUCGCCGUAGUCACCUCCCCGACCAGCCCAACCGUGCUCCUCGCUGGCACCCUUACCGGCACGCUCCUCGCCAUCGGCGCGGCCGCGACCACGGACGCCGCAGCACCCCCACACGGCCGGUACGCCCGCCUCAUGUGGCUCAGCGGCGGGUUCCUCAUGUCCAUCCUCUGGUCCUACCUCCUGGCCCGGGAGCUCGUGGCCCUCCUCGUGUCCACCGGCAUCAUCGUGGGCGUGCCCGCGAGCGUGCUGGGGGUCACCGUGCUCGCGUGGGGCAACUCUCUCGGCGACCUGGUCGCCGACGUGGCGAUGGCAACGCAGGACGGCACGACAGGCGCCCAGACGGCGGUGGCGGGGUGCUACGCCGGGCCGGCCUUCAACACGGUGGUGGGGCUGGGCCUCUCGAUGGCACUGGCGGCGGGGGCGCGCUACCCGGAGCCGUACAAGAUCCCGGUGGAUGCGUCGACGUACAUGACGGUGGCGUUCCUGGUGGCCGGGCUAACAUGGGCGUUGGUGGUGCUGCCGGCGAGGGGGAUGAGGCUGGACGCCACACUCGGUGCUGGGCUGCUCGCCGUGUACCUCUGCUUCAUCGCCGUCCGGGUCGCCGACGCCGUCGGCGUCCUCAGCCUAGACUCUCUCCUGCCAAGACAGUGA
RNAcentral lists this ribosomal RNA (1698 nucleotides) under Triticum aestivum (bread wheat). RNAcentral's name for it is "partial small subunit ribosomal RNA". Lineage: Eukaryota; Viridiplantae; Streptophyta; Magnoliopsida; Poales; Poaceae. The record is from RNAcentral.